GACGAACGCUGGCGGCGUGCUUUACACAUGCAAGUCGUACGGUAAGGCCCUUUCUGGGGUACACGAGUGGCGCACGGGUGAGUAACACGUGAGUAACCUGCCCACAACUUUGGGAUAAACCUAGGAAACUGGUGCUAAUACUGGAUAUGUGCUCCUGCUGCAUGGUGGGGGUUGGAAAGCUCCGGCGGUUGUGGAUGGACUCGCGGCCUAUCAGCUUGUUGGUGGGGUAGUGGCCUACCAAGGCGGCGACGGGUAGCCGGCCUGAGAGGGUGACCGGCCACAUUGGGACUGAGAGACGGCCCAGACGCCGACGGGAGGAAGCAGUGGGGAAUAUUGCACAAGGGGCGCAAGCCUGAUGCAGCAACGCCGCGGGCGGGAUGACGGCCUUCGGGUUGAAAACCGCUUUCAGCAGGGACGAAGCUUUUUGUGACGGUACCUGCAGAAGAAGCACCGGCUAACUACGUG
This 465-nucleotide ribosomal RNA is filed under the name uncultured bacterium. RNAcentral's name for it is "partial 16S ribosomal RNA". It matches the Rfam family "Bacterial small subunit ribosomal RNA", at positions 28 to 507 of the family's 1533-position model. The record is from RNAcentral.